GAUGAACGCUAGCGGCAGGCUUAAUACAUGCAAGUCGAGGGGCAGCGGGAGUAGCAAUACUUGCCGGCGACCGGCGCACGGGUGCGUAACACGUAUGUAAUCUGCCCAUCACAGGAGGAUAGCCCGGAGAAAUUCGGAUUAAUACUCCAUAAUAGAAGAUAAAGCAUUUUAUUUUCUUGAAAGUUCCGACGGUGAUGGAUGAACAUGCGACUGAUUAGUUUGUUGGUGAGGUAACGGCUCACCAAGACUACGAUCAGUAGGGGUACUGAGAGGUUAAACCCCCACACUGGUACUGAGACACGGACCAGACCU
RNAcentral lists this ribosomal RNA (312 nucleotides) under uncultured bacterium. Its description in RNAcentral is "bacterial SSU rRNA". It matches the Rfam family "Bacterial small subunit ribosomal RNA", at positions 28 to 338 of the family's 1533-position model. The record is from RNAcentral.